UACAGAGGGUGCGAGCGUUGUCCGGAAUCUCUGGGCGUAACGGGCGCUUAGGCGGUUUUGUAAGUCGGGGGUGAAAUGCUGCGGCUCAACCGCAGCGCUGCCUUCGAGACUGCAAGACUGGAGCACGGUAGAGGCGGAUGGAAUUCCCGGUGUAGCGGUGGAAUGCGUAGAGAUCGGGAAGAACACCAAUGGCGAAGGCAGUCCGCUGGGCCGUUGCUGACGCUGAGGCGCGACAGCGUGGGGAGCAAACAGG
This 253-nucleotide ribosomal RNA is filed under the name uncultured bacterium. Its description in RNAcentral is "partial 16S ribosomal RNA". It matches the Rfam family "Bacterial small subunit ribosomal RNA", at positions 524 to 776 of the family's 1533-position model. The record is from RNAcentral.